CAGAUUGAACGCUGGCGGCAGGCCUAACACAUGCAAGUCGAGCGGUAACAGAGAGUAGCUUGCUACUCUGCUGACGAGCGGCGGACGGGUGAGUAAUGCUUGGGAAUGUACCUUAUGGUGGGGGACAACAGUUGGAAACGACUGCUAAUACCGCAUAAUGUCUUCGGACCAAAGCGGGGGACCUUCGGGCCUCGCGCCAUAAGAUCAGCCCAAGUGGGAUUAGCUAGUUGGUGAGGUAAUGGCUCACCAAGGCGACGAUCCCUAGCUGGUUUGAGAGGAUGAUCAGCCACACUGGGACUGAGACACGGCCCAGACCCCUACGGGAGGCAGCAGUGGGGAAUAUUGCACAAUGGGCGCAAGCCUGAUGCAGCCAUGCCGCGUGUGUGAAGAAGGCCUUCGGGUUGUAAAGCACUUUCAGUAAGGAGGAAAGGUUGGAUGUUAAUAGCAUUCAGCUGUGACGUUACUACAGAAGAAGC
Molecule: ribosomal RNA, 476 nt
Filed under: marine sediment bacterium ISA-2636
Lineage: Bacteria
Description: bacterial SSU rRNA
Rfam family: Bacterial small subunit ribosomal RNA
Source: RNAcentral